Molecule: long non-coding RNA, 619 nt
Organism: Arabidopsis thaliana (thale cress)
Lineage: Eukaryota; Viridiplantae; Streptophyta; Magnoliopsida; Brassicales; Brassicaceae
Product: other RNA
Exons: 1
Source: RefSeq
AAUAGUUUUAGUGUUUAGUGUGCCUAUGAUGAUAUAUAACAAGGAGCAAAGCCCAACACAGGCCCAGUAGUAAAAGAAGAGCAUUCAAACACAACAAAGGCAAUGAAGAAGCAAAAUGCUGUUUACAAGAUUGAUUGAUGAUGAUGACGACGAUGUCAAUGCAUCCAAAACUCUGUCAAAAGAAAGUCAUUCAUCCUCCUCACAGUGACAUCAUCCAAAACCUAAUCUCAUAUCAUCUAAACCAUAGAGCAAACCAUAAUCCUCUGUCUCCUAAUACAUAAAGGCCAAAAUCAACGAGAAGAGGUGUGGUGUGUGUUUCAGUGUUUGUUCUUGAUCUUAACACCAAGCUCACCUGCAAUGAUAACAGUAGAAGCCAUAUCCAGAAACAUCCCAUGUUCCACUACUCCCGGUAGCCUCAGAAUCGCAUCACUCACUGCUCCCAAAUCUCCCAUAUCCUCUUCCACAUGCAUAUCCACUAUGUAAUUCCCAUUGUCUGUCACAAAGGCCUUCCCUUUCUCUCCCAACCGAAGAUUCGCUUCACACCCGUAUCCUUCCAGCAGACUCCGGAGCUUCUCCGCCGUGAACUUCCAGCAAAAGGGCACUAUCUCCACCGGAAGAG